RNAcentral lists this ribosomal RNA (253 nucleotides) under uncultured bacterium. RNAcentral's name for it is "partial 16S ribosomal RNA". It matches the Rfam family "Bacterial small subunit ribosomal RNA", at positions 524 to 776 of the family's 1533-position model. The record is from RNAcentral.
UACGUAGGGGGCAAGCGGUGUCCGGAAUCAUUGGGCGUAAAGCGCGUGUAGGCGGCCCGGUAAGUCCGCUGUGAAAGUCCAGGGCUCAACCCUGGGAUGCCGGUGGAUACUGUCGGGCUCGAGUCCGGAAGAGGCGAGUGGAAUUCCUGGUGUAGCGGUGAAAUGCGCAGAUAUCAGGAGGAACACCAGUGGCGAAGGCGGCACUCUGGGCCGGUACUGACGCUGAGGAGCGAAAGCGUGGGGAGCGAACAGG